RNAcentral lists this long non-coding RNA (8106 nucleotides) under Lactuca sativa (garden lettuce). Its description in RNAcentral is "long non-coding RNA (LSAT_LNC004165)". Lineage: Eukaryota; Viridiplantae; Streptophyta; Magnoliopsida; Asterales; Asteraceae. The record is from RNAcentral.
UCAUUUUAUAUCUGACCGGGCCCGGUACAUGGGUCAACACAAAAUCAUCGAGAUAUCGCUUCUAUUUCUAGAAUGAACAGAUAAACUUCGACUCAUAUGCUUGUUCUACUACUUGUUGAAUUGUACACAAAGGCACAUUUUAUGACAUCAAGUUACUGAUGCGUUUACGUGCAAUCAAUGCACAACCAACUCAUAGGUAACAACUCAUAUCUCUAGGUUUGAAGACUUAUAUGAUAUUAUCAUCUCACGAUCACUCGAGAUAAAUUCCAUGAAGUGAUACAAGUGAGCGUGGGUUUAUACCAAUACUCAUAACUUAUGAGUACUCAUGAACGUUGUAGCAACCAUUGCCAUGUCUAAACACCUUUAGCCAUCUACAAACCCAAUUCAUGACAAUCUUGAUUCAUACCUACUUCCGACGUAUGACCGAUUGUGGAGGUUUGAAUAAAUUAAUUAUUCUGGAAGUCAAAACAUGCAAAACUGAAACAAUAGUAAAUAAUUGACAAUGAUAGUAACACUUUACUCAUAAAUAAAUAACAAAUUUUAUUCAUCAUCAAACGUCGAUUACAUUUUACAAGUUUCAGAAAAGGCUGUCUAAUCUGUAAAACAAAUAUCAUCUCUCAGCCCGAUGUGCCUCACAUGCUGCAAAUGCUUAACCCUCGUCAGUCCCUUCGUAAGGGGAUCUGCAGGGUUCUCAUCUGAUGAUACCCUCUUUGCCACAAGGAGUCCUCCUUCUAUCUUGUGUCUUAGGAAGUGAUAUUUUCUGUGAAUGUGUCGGGAUCUGCCAUGAUCUCUCGGUUCCUUGGCUUAGGCAACCGCACUAUUGCUGUCACAGAAAAUCUCCAUAGGCUCCUUAAUAGAUGGUACAACUCCAAGGUCUCCGAUGAAGUUCUUUAGCCAUAUCGCCUCCUUCUCUGCUUCACUCGCUGCUAUAUAAUCUGAUUCACAAGUCGAAUCAGCUACCGUCUCCUGCUUGGAACUCUUCCAAGAGAUUGCCCCUCCAUUUAGGGUAAAGACCCAGCCCGACUGAGAGCAGAACUUAUCCCUAUCACUCUGAAAACUAGCAUCACUAUACCCUAAUACUCUCAAGUCAUCACUCCCACCAAGGGUAAGGAUCCAAUGAGCCUUGCCAAGGUUCCCUUGAUAUCUGCUGACCAUGCGCAAAGCAAAGGCCACAUCAGGGUGGGUACAAGUCAUAACAUACAUGAUCGAGCCUACAGUGGAAGCAUACGCUAAUCGACUCAUUUCUACUAUCUCAGCCUCUGUACUCGGACUCUAAGUCUUACUCAGUUUGGCAUUGCAUUGGAUCGGUAAAUCUCCUUUCUUGGAAUUUUUCAUGUUGAACCUAUUCAACACCUUAUCCAAAUAGGUACUCUGACUAAGUCCAAUUAGUCUUUUACUCAUUUCUCUUAAUAUCCUUAUCCCUAGGAUAUAGGCAGCUUCUCCUAGGUCCUUCACAACAAAGCACUUCCCAAGCCAGGAUAUAACCUCCUGCAAGGUUGGGAUGUCAUUUCCUAUAAGUAGUAUGUCAUCUACAUACAGUAGCAAGAAGCUAACUAUACUCCCACUAGCUCUGACAUACACGCAAGACUCAUCUUCACCUCUCGAGAAGCCAAACUCUUUGACCUUCUCAUUGAAACAAAGAUUCCAGCUACGAGAUGCUUGUUUUAAUCCAUAAAUGGAUUUCUCAAGCUUGCAUACUCUAUUAGGGUAUUUUGCACUGACAAAACCCUCUGGCUGAUUCAUGUACACAUCCUCAGCCAACUUUCCAUUAAGAAAAGCGGUUUUGACAUCCAUAUUCCAUAUUUCAUAAUCAUGAAAUGCAGCAAUGGCUAGCAUAACCCUAAUAGACUUAAUCUUUGCUACCGGUGAGAAGGUUUCAUCAUAAUCAAUACCCUGAGUUUGAGUAAAACCCUUCGCAACCAGUCGAGCCUUAUAGGUGUGCACUUUUCCUUCCAUGUCGGUCUUCUUCUUGAAGAUCCAUUUGCACCCGACUGUUUUACGGUCUGGUACAUUAUCAACCAAGUUCCAAACUUGAUUGUCAUACAUGGACUGUAUCUCGCUGUCCAUAGCCUCCUUCCAUUUAGCAGACUUCGGGCCUGCCAUUGCUUCCUUAACACUGCUAGGUUCAUCCAAAUUUACCAGUGUACUAUCGCUGAUAAACGUAUCACCUUCCGUAGUAAUAUGAAAGCCAUAAUAAAACGAAGGUGUGUUCCUAACCCGUGUGGAACGCCUCGGAGGUACAGACAUGUCAGCUUGCUCAACAGGAGUUUCCUCCUCAGGUUGAUUGCUAGUGUCUGAGGUUCCUUCACAGGUUGAUUCUUGAAUUUCUUCGAGGUCAAUUUGCCUCCCACUAUCUCCUUGGUUUAUAAACUCUCUUUCACGAAAGACCCCUCUUCUCGCUACAAAGACCACAUUCUCAUUAGGUCUGUAGAAGAGGUAACCGAAGGAUUUCUAUGGGUAGCCGAUGAAAAUACACCUUUCACUUCGGGGUUCAAGCUUAUCAUGAGUUUCUCGCCUCAUGAAAGCCUCGCAACCCCAAAUCAUGAUGUGGUCCAAAUUGGGAACCUUCCCAGUCCACAUCUCAUGAGGUGUUUUGGUAACCUUCUUUGUAGGGACUAGAUUAAGGAUAUGGGCGGCAGUCUCUAAGGCAUACCCCCAAAAAGAGAUUGGUAACGAAACUCGACUCAUCAUAGAGCGAACCAUGUCCAACAAGGUACGAUUACGCCUCUCAGCUACACCAUUCAGCUGUGGUGUCCUGGGAGGAGUCAAUUGUGAGACAAUCCCACACUCCUUAAGAUAGUCAAGGAACUCGGUACUAAGAUACUCACCACCUCGAUCGGAUCGAAGCAUCUUAAUGUUCCUGCCCAAUUGAUUUUCUACUUCCUGUUUGAAUUCCUUAAACCUUUCAAAGGUUUCUGACUUAUGUUUGAUUAAGUAGACAUACCCAUAUCUACUAAAAUCAUCAAUAAAAGUCACAUAAUACCGAUUAGCAUCCCUUGUGGCAGGUUUGAAUGGUCCACACACAUCAGUAUGUAUUAGGUCCAACAAACCUUCACCCCGUUCACAAGUACCAGUGAAGGGUGAUUUUGUCAUCUUUCCAAGUAGACAAGAUUCACAACUAUCAUCCGAUUUAAGGUCAAAUCAUUCCAAGACUCCAUCCUUUUGGAGUUGACCUAUGUGUUUCUUGUUUACAUGUCCAAGACAACAAUGCCACAAUGAUGCUUUAUCUAGGCUAGUAGAAGAAUCAAUAUACAACACAUUAUUUCCUAAGUUGUCUACAAUCGACACAGUUUCAUACACACCAUCACAAGGUAAUGCUUUAAAAUAAAACACAUUUUUAAAGAAAGCAUUAAUACCACCACAUUCAUUAUCAAACGAAAAGGUAAAACCUUGUUUGUACAAAGCAUGAAAAGAAAUAAUAUUCCUCGCCAUUUCAGACGAGUACACACAUUUAUUCAAAUCUAAUUUUAAUCCAUUAUUCAGCAAAAAAGUAUAAACUCCAAUCUUGGAAACAGGUGAAGCCUUCCUAUUCCCCAUGAUCAAGUUUAUCUUUCCAUGCUCCACAUCGUCACUUCUUCUUAGGCCCUGCAAAUCAGAACAUAUGUGAAUACCACAUCCUGUAUCAAGCACCCAAGAGUUAGAAUAUGUUGAGUAAUUAGACAAUAUAGUGUAAAUACCUGCAUGGGUGGGUUUCACUUUCCCAUCCUUUAGAUCCUGCAAGUACUUAGGGCAGUUUCGCUUCCAGUGUGCCUUUUCAUGGCAAUAAAAGCAUUCAGCAUCCUUUGGAAUGGCAGAAGGAGUGACAGAACCGUUCUUAGUCUUGGAUGAGGAGCCUUCAAGAGACUUUCCCUUGGUACCCUUCGAAGGGUGCUUCCUCUUUUUCCCUUUGCCUUGCCCAAUAGCUAAAACAGGGGUAGAAGUUGGAGUAGGAGUAGUAGAGGUAACAACCGCUUUACCCUUAAGACCGGUUUCAGCGGUCUUCAAGAGUCCUUGAAGCUUGCUGAGGGUAACUUCCUCCUUGUUCAUAUGAUAUGUCAUUCGAAAAUGAUCAUAACAAGAAGGCAAGGAGUGCAAAAUGAUGUCAAUUGCUAACUCCUCGGGGAUGUUAACAUUCAGCUUCAGCAAACGGUCCACAUACCUUUGCAUCUUUUGCAUGUGGCCCGUGACGGAUUCACCGUCCUUCAUGCGGGUAGUUAUUAUGGAGGAGAUUAUUUCAUACCGCUCCUGACGAGCACUCUGAUGGUACCUUUCCAUCAAGUCUUGGUGCAUCUCAAAAGGGUAGAAAUCUUCAUAUGACUUUUGGAGCUCGGCUGUCAUCGUGGCCAUCAUGAUACAUGCCACCUUAGUAGCAUCUCUCUCAUGAGUCCUGAAUUCAGCGAUCUCCUCAGGAGUAGCAGUAGACUCAUCAAGUUCUUUUAACUCCUUAUCGAGGACAUAUUCCUUGUCCUCGUAACGAGUAACCAUCCUGAUGUUCCUAAUCCAAUCCAUGAAGUUGGAACCAUCAAAGAUGACCCUCCCACAAAGAUUCAUGAGAGAGAAAGAACCAGUUGGGUUAGAGCCUGAAGCAUUAGUGUUGGAAGACAUCUGAAAGAAGAAAGUAAGUUUAGAUUAGAUAUUUAGGAUCCUUAAUAAGACACCCAAAUGUAAUAUUAAGGCUAGGAUCCAAUCACAAUAUAUUACACUUAGAAGAGGGAUGCCGUAAUCUAAGUAAUAAUAUAUUUGAAAGGUAGGCGAAUGACGAUUCACCAAUUUCCACCAUGAAAACGAAAUGAUUAAUUAGGUUUAAUUGGAUUUGAAAUUCCUAGAUUCUUUUGAGAUUCAUUGAACUUUUCAAUGGCAUGUUUCAAUCUCGAUUGUGCCCUUCAAGUUUUGUGACUGGGAUGCCGAGGAUCACAAAACAAGGUGUGAAUAACCAUGCUAACUCACUUGGUACUCCUAAUAUUAUCACCUAAUCAAUGUGCCGGUUAACCACACACGCUCCAUUGAUCUAUGACAACAUUAAGUUACCCUUCGUGAUCCUUACUAGUCUAAUUAGUGUGCCGGUUAACCACACACGCUCCACUAACGACUUGGUAAGGUACAAAGUGUGAAUUCCAUGGAUUAGCACCAUGUUCACAUUUUCCUAAAAUAACUAAGAUUGGGAAUUAAAAGAGUUUAGUUAUUUUAUAAUAUUCAUUAUACUUUUAAUGAGGAUUUAAAGUCGUUGUUCUACCCGUUCGGCUAACGACCCUCCACCGAUCAAGCAAGCGGUGGGUGAGAGUAUACACCCAUUAAGUCGCCAUUUUAUAGGCAACAACCUUAUACCCACCUUAUAGACCGGCUUCGUGAAUGAGGCCUACUAACGGUAAAACGACUUAUUCUUAUACAUAUAUAUAAUAAUUAACCAUUAAUGUUAUAAAUAGUAUAAGGGUUGAAUUUUAACUAUUAAAACUCUAAGGUUUGGAAUUAAAGUUUAUUAAAGUGUGUGAAACUUUACAAAUUCCAAAACUUGAGGACAAGUUUUGUAACUUUGCAAAACUCUUCAUUUCAUAACUUAUGAAUUAAAGGUUCAUAAAAAUGAAGACUCUUCAUUUUCAUGUAACUUAUGUGUUUUAAGUGUGUGUUAAAUGAAAGUGACCUUUGGUAAUCCAUAACUUGAGGACAAAUUAUGGACUCCAUUAAAACACAUAAAUGAUUAAGAAUUAAUUCUAAACAAUUCAGCAAAUAAUUCCUAUCAUUUUCUAAAUUCAUAAGAACAUGAACAUGAUCAUCAAAAAUUCAAGAAUUAUAUGAACACAUAAAAUCAUGGAUUUUUGAUAUAUGCUAUUGUAAAUGGAUUAGAACAACCAUUACACCAACUAAAAUAAGUUUUACAACACCAAAACAAUUUAGGGUAAUGUUUCCAGUCCAUUUCCAGCAGCAAAAGUCGAGAUUCUGCAUUCUUUCGAUCCUACUCGCCGAGUGCACGAACGGACUCGUCGAGUAGGUUGAAGUUUGCCUUGGACUCGGCGAGUCCCCCCAAUGGACUCGGCGAGUCUAGCAUGCAGACAGCAACGAUUUCGACUUUUUUCACUAUUUUGCAUCAAGUAUCAAACAAGCAAGCCUAGGCUCUGAUACCACUGUUGGGUUUUGAGCAAUCUAACACUUCCUAAGUGUGCAUGCAACCCUAAUAAACCUUGGAUCUAUGUUUGUCUAAAUACAUGCAAAAUAAUAAUUUUCCAAGGUUUAUAACCUAUCUAACAUGGCAUGGGGAACAUUUCAACAUAAAAGAGUUAGAAGAGAUUACAUACCUUUGUUGUGUUGGGUUCUUAGGAGUUUGAGGGCCAAGCACCAAUAGUGUGAAUGCCUCAAAUGGAAUCACAAACACCACAAACUCUUGGAAAACUUUGAGAGAGUAUACACACUCUUGUAUUUUCGGCCACACACAUGCACACACACACUAGAACACUAGCUUUCUCUUAGGCUAUCUUAGGCUCUCUUUCAUGCUCCAUAAGCAUGCUUAUAUAGUAUGCAUGGUUAGGGUGAAACCCUAAUAACCCAUGUCUUUUCCUAUUCCAAGGAUCCAUGGGUUAAAAGCUCCAUGGAUCAUCCAUGGACUUCCACAUAAGCCUAGCCCAUUAACAAAUGAGUAUUAGCCCACACUAUAUAAAACAAAUAGCCCAUAAUUUAAUUAGUAUUCCUUUUAAUCUCUAAAUUAAUCCAUAAUUAAUUUAAGACUAAAACUAAUUAAAUAACGUAACUUCAUAUUAAUAUAUUAUAACUCAUAAUAUAUUAAUAAACAUAUGUGUAUAACUCUCAUAAAAUUAUCCAUAAUAGUUUGGAUGAGAUGCAACCCAAAUGGACCAUGCCGGUCGGGUCAAGUAUAUACCAAAUAAGUUAUGGACUUAGACACCUUAUCCAACAGACUCCCACUUGGAUAAGUCUAAUAACUAUAUUUGCCUAUAACUUCAGGAACCAACCAACAAUCGUAGCUCUCGAAAACUCCCUCGAACAAUGAAGACUCUGUCGAACUAUGAAGCGCCAUUUUAGAUAAGUGAUCACAUAAUCCUCUGUUCUCAUGAUAUCAGCCGGACAAACACAUGGAACUAUGUCUUGCUUAUUGUCUAGCAGUUGUUUCUCGAUUAUCCGAUUUGUUUGACGAAGAACUUCACUGAACACAUCGGUUUAGUUCUGACCAGGCCUGGUAUAUGGGUCAACACAAAAUCAUCGAGGGGCCCGGAUAUCGCUUCUAUUUCUAGAAGGAACAGAUAAACUUCGACUGAUAUGCUUGUUCUACUACUUAUUGAAUUGUACACAAAGGCACGUUUUAUAACAUCAAGUUACUGAUGCGUUUACGUGCAAUCAAUGCACAACCAACUCAUAGGUAACAACUCAUAUCUCUAGGUUUAAAGAUUUAUAUGAUGUUAUCGUCUCACGAUCACUCGAGAUAAAUUCCAUGAAGUGAUACAAGUGAGCGUGGGUUUAUACCAAUACUCAUAACUUAUGAGUACUCAUGAAUGUUGCAGCAACCAUUGCCAUGCCUAAACACCUUUAAGGCAUCUACAAACCCAAUUCAUGACAAUCUUGAUUCAUACCUACUUCCGACGUAUGAUCGAUUGUGGAGGUUUGAACAAAUUAAUUAUUCUGGAAGUCAAAACAUGCAAAACUGAAACAAUAGUAAAUAAUUGACAAUGAUAGUAACACUUUACUCAUAAAUAAAUCACAAAUUUUAUUCAUCAUCAAACGUCGAUUACAUUUUACAAGUUUCAGGAAAACUAUCUAAUCUGUAAAACUAAUAUCGUCCCUCAGCCCGAUGCGUCUCGCAUGCUGAAAAUGCUUAACCCUCGUCAGUCCCUUCGUAAGGGGAUCUGCAGGAUUCUCAUCUGACGAUAUCCUCCUUGUCACAAGGAGUCCUUCUUCAAUCUUGUGCCUUAUGAAGUGAUAUUUUCUGUCAAUGUGUCGGGAUCUGCCAUGAUCUCUUGGUUCCUUGGCUAAGAUAACCGCAGCAUUGUUGUCACAGAAAAUCUCUAUAGGUUCCUUAAUAGCUGGUACAACUCCAAGGUCUCCGAUGAAGUUCUUUAGCCAUAUCGCCUCCUUCGCUGCUUCACUCGCUGCUAUAUACUCUGAUUCACAAGUCGAAUCAGCCAC